RNAcentral lists this long non-coding RNA (1058 nucleotides) under Danio rerio (zebrafish). RNAcentral's name for it is "lncRNA (ENSDARG00000117478.1)". Lineage: Eukaryota; Metazoa; Chordata; Actinopteri; Cypriniformes; Danionidae. The record is from RNAcentral.
GUAGUUUGACUUUUUUUAUUAUUAUUAUACAUUGAUUGUAGACCGGAAAUUAAGACUUGAUGACUGCUCAGUUUCCGUGUUUGUGCUUUGGAGAUAAUGAUUUUUAUUGUUGAAUUAUCUGAUUAGCAGGAGAUAUAUUAGUUCUGAGCAGGCCUGGUUUCCUGCUUUCUUAUCAUAAAUGAACAAAUACACGCCUCUGCGUGCAAACUGUUGAUUAGAUUUAGUGACAUUCAACUCAGCCAGUAACGGUCAGAGGUUUCUUUAAGAAUGUCCGAUAUGCUAAUAAUAAAGGAUAAUUUCAUGGACAAGGUUUUAUUUAAUUUAGUUUGUUUUUACAACUGGAAUAUAUGAACUCAAAAUAAAAUAAACCACAUGGACUAUUACUUUCAACUCCAGAAGAGACAACAGGAAUAAACAACUUUUGAAGGGUAACGCUUGUUGCAAACGCACUUCCGGGUUGGAUGAAAACAUUGCUGAUGAAAAUUCAAGUCAAGCUCGAAUUCCCAUCCAGUGCGAGGAUAAUCCCGAGGGUCAAAAUGGACUGAUGGUGUACGACAGGGAAGCUUUUCCUAUGAAGAGAAUCCUCUGUCCAGCCGGAGCAGAAGAUCUUCCUGAAGCACAAGAAAGAAAACAGCAGUUGAUCAUCUCUACGCAGAUUCAGAAAUUUGGGCAUCUGCUUUAGGAGCUGCUUUAAUCUCUGUUGAUUGGGAAAUUGUUAAAAAAAAACACCUUUAUUUGACAGUGAUGUUUGAUACAUGAUGUUUUAAAAACAUUAAAAAGAAACAUGUAUGAUUAUGAAGAGUAGAGGGGGAGUUAUUUAAACAGUUUGUCUUUCAGGUAUGCUGUGCUGUUUGUUCCAAUAGUAUCUAGAUGUAGACUUGGAUUUCCAAGAUGAGAUUGCUUAUCUCAGACAUGCAAUGUCAGAUACAAUGUACUCAAUGGAGCUAGUGUAGGGUAGGGUAGUGGAAGGGUUAGUUGUGCGUGCAUGCAGUUUCAGCUUGCAGACCCCUCUCGUUUGUUCAGUCUACACUGAAAUUUUGCAGUUAAUUUACCCAUCC